This 2155-nucleotide ribosomal RNA is filed under the name Gemmatimonadota bacterium. RNAcentral describes it as "Gemmatimonadetes bacterium (marine metagenome) partial 23S ribosomal RNA". It matches the Rfam family "Bacterial large subunit ribosomal RNA", at positions 811 to 2925 of the family's 2925-position model. Lineage: Bacteria; Pseudomonadati; Gemmatimonadota. The record is from RNAcentral.
GUGGGUAGGGGUGAAAGGCCAAUCAAACCUGGAGAUAGCUGGUUCUCCCCGAAAUAGCUUUAGGGCUAGCCUCUUGUUAUAGAGUCGUGGAGGUAGAGCACUGGAACGGCUAGGGGCCCCAAAAGGUUACCAAACCGUACCAAACUCCGAAUGCCAUUGACUUGUUGCAAGGGAGUCAGCUUACGGGGGAUAAACUUCGUAGGCGAGAGGGAAACAACCCAGACCGCCAGCUAAGGUCCCAAAGUGCAGGCUAAGUGAUUAAAAGGAUGUGGGAUUGCUAAGACAGCUAGAAUGUUGGCUUAGAAGCAGCCACCAUUUAAAGAAAGCGUAAUAGCUCACUAGUCAAGUGAUCCUGCGCCGAAAAUGUAUCGGGGCUAAGCCUGUCACCGAAGCUGCGGAAUUGAGCGUCCUUCGGGGCGCCCAAUUGGUAGGGGAGCGUUCCAUGGUAGGUCGAAGGUAGACCGUAAGGUCUGCUGGACGAAAUGGAAGUGAUUAUCUCGGCAUGAGUAGCGAUAAGGCAGGUGAGAAUCCUGCCCACCGAAAGUCUAAGGUUUCCCGGGCCAGGCUCGUCCUCCUGGGGUUAGUCGGGACCUAAGCCGAGGCCGAAAGGCGUAGGCGAUGGAAAACAGGUCAAAAUUCCUGUACCACUCGUGGCGCGUUCGAGCUAUGGGGUGACGCAGAAGUGAAAGGUCAGCCAGCGACUGGAAAUGCUGGUCCAAGUCUGUAGGAGGAUCACCUAGGCAAAUCCGGGUGGUCAACUCCGAGAGGCGAUGGGGAGCCGUUUAUCGGCAUAAACUGACCCUAAUCAUGCUGCCAAGAAAAACCUCUAUGUGAGUUCCACGGGUGCCCGUACCGCAAACCGACACAGGUAGACGAGGAGAGUAUCCAAAGGUGUGCGAGAGAACCCUGGUUAAGGAAUUCGGCAAAAUGAUCCCGUAACUUCGGAAGAAGGGAUGCCCUCAGUAGGUGAAACCCCUCGCGGGUGGAGCCCAAAGGGGCCGCAGAGAAUCGGGCUGGGCGACUGUUUACCAAAAACACAGGUCUCUGCUAAGCCGCAAGGCGACGUAUAGGGACUGACACGUGCCCGGUGCGGGUAAGUUAAGAGGAGGGGUUAGCCUUCGGGCGAAGCUCUGAAUCGAAGCUCCCGUAAACGGCGGCCGUAACUAUAACGGUCCUAAGGUAGCGAAAUUCCUCGUCGGCUAAAAACCGACCUGCACGAAUCGUGUAACGACUUGGCCGCUGUCUCAACGAGGGACUCGGUGAAAUUGUAGUUCCGGUGAAGAUGCCGGAUACCCGCGGCAGGACAGAAAGACCCCGUGAACCUUUACUAUAGCUUGGCAUUGGGUUUUGAUACUGCAUGUGUAGGAUAGGUGGGAGGCUUUGAAACGGGAUCGCCAGAUUUCGUGGAGCCGACCUUGAAAUACCACCCUUGCCUUGUUAAAAUUCUAACCUUGGUCCUUUGAUCAGGAUCGGGAACAGUGCCAGGUGGGUAGUUUAACUGGGGCGGUUGCCUCCUAAAGAGUAACGGAGGCGCCCAAUGGUUCCCUCAGCGCGGUCGGUAAUCGCGCAUAGAGUGUAAAGGCAUACAGGGAGCUUGACUGCGAGACCUACAAGUCGAGCAGGUGCGAAAGCAGGGCUUAGUGAUCCGACGGUUGCGCGUGGAAGCGCCGAAGCUCAACGGAUAAAAGGUACUCCGGGGAUAACAGGCUUAUUGCCCCCAAGCGCUCAUAGCGACGGGGCAGUUUGGCACCUCGAUGUCGGCUCAGCGUAUCCUGGGGCUGGAGAAGGUCCCAAGGGUUUGGCUGUUCGCCAAUUAAAACGCUACGCGAGCUGGGUUCAGAACGUCGUGAGACAGUUCGGUCCCUAUCCGCCGUGGGUGUAGGAUAUUUGAGAAGAUCUGACCCUAGUACGAGAGGACCGGGUUGGACGAACCUCUGGUCAACCAGUUGUUCCGCCAGGAGCAUCGCUGGGUAGCUACGUUCGGAAGGGAUAAACGCUGAAAGCAUAUAAGCGUCAAGCCCACUUCAAGACUAGAUAUCCCGUAGGGUUAACCUACCUAAAGGCCCCUCGUAGACUACGAGGUUGAUAGGUUGCAGGUGGAAGCGCAGCAAUGUGUGAAGCCGAGCAAUACUAAUUGGCCGUGAGGCUUGACCAU